Drosophila nasuta is the source of this 670-nucleotide long non-coding RNA. RefSeq lists it as uncharacterized. Lineage: Eukaryota; Metazoa; Arthropoda; Insecta; Diptera; Drosophilidae. The transcript is spliced from 3 exons. The record is from RefSeq and is a predicted model, not a curated record.
GUUUACAUUUCAAACUAAGUUAUUAUAGUUGACAUUCCGACUAAAGUUACUUGUUUAUUUUCAACCUAUGCUGCACUAACAAUCAUAUGGAUAUGUUUUAUUCUACAUUGAAUUGAAGAUUUAAAAAAGUUUCCUAGUGAAUAGUGAAAAUAAACCUUUUAUUUCAAACGAUAUACUCAAGAGAUAUGGCCAAUAAAAUAACAUACAAUCAAAUUUAUUGAAUCAAAAAGGUUUGCCAAAAAAGCAAAAAGCGCUUCGUUAGAUCCUUUUGUGGCGGGCAUAAUUUAAUAUUUACAAAACCAAAUAACUAACCACUAGGAAUAACAAAGUCAAUGAACGCACACACUCGCAGCAACCCAGACAAAUUUAAUGAGAGACUCUGUUGGAGGGAGAAAUAUGUAUUCUCUGAUGACAUCGCCUCAUCUUUCACACACACGCAGUGUGCUGGAUUACUUAUCACAACUUAUACGCAUUUAUUUGUGUUUUUUAUUUAUUUUUGCAAUCUUUAUUUUGUUUUUAUACCCAAACACUUGACUCACUGGAACGGCAUAAUGUAUUGAAGUGAAUCGAAAUUUUUGUCAGGCUCAAAAAAUAUAUUUUAUAUAAAUACUUUAUCAACAACACAAACCAGAUGAUAUCCAUACAUACAUAUGUAUGUAUGCAGUCAUGC